UAAAGUUAUUUAAGGAAACUUCCCUGACUGUUUCCCUUUGUUUGCAGGCCGUGUGAAAAACUCAAUCCAUCAACCACAGAAGCUGACGAUGAUGACACAGACAUUGAUUCAGAUGAUUCUCAGAGUUUGUUACAACCAGAAAUGUACCAUAUCACUGUUCCAUGUAGCGUUAUUAUGGACUCUGGACCCUCAGCAGAAUCAGAGUACAGUCUAGAACCUUCUUCACCUGCCGGUGCAGCCCCAGCAGCUAUGUACACCUCACCUGGGUCUAUCGCUGCCCCUGAACAAGAGGAACCACCAUCCACAAGCAGAACUUCUCCACCGCCCAGAGCUCAAACCACUGACCCAGUCUUACCAGGUACCACUGACCCUACGCCUAACCAGGACCGUGCCAGCGAUGGUCCCACAGGUCAGCCCGGAUCACCCCCGAAUUCAAGCCCCACUGUUGACGUUCCAGCAGUGUCAAUAUCUGCAGUACAAACACUCUCACUCUUAGUACAAGCAUCUCACUUAAAAUCUGAGCAGCUACCAGAACCCUCUCCUCCGGCAGGGGUUUCUUCAUCACCAGGUCGUCCCGCUGCAGCAGAUGCUUCUGAUGUGGGUACCACAGAGAAAUCCCAGUCCAGUGCUGCCAUAUUCUGGACCAGAUGUAAUGAGGCUGGGUGGACUAAAGAAGUCUUCUCAGAGCUCGUGUCUCAGCUGAGCAGCCUAGGAGAAAGAGUGCAGUCACAGGAAGCCAGCCACCAAGGUGAGAACAGCCUUGAUUCAGGCCAGUUUUGUGGAAUAUUUCAGG
This 793-nucleotide long non-coding RNA is filed under the name Sinocyclocheilus anshuiensis. RNAcentral's name for it is "lncRNA (ENSSANG00000029077.1)". The record is from RNAcentral. Lineage: Eukaryota; Metazoa; Chordata; Actinopteri; Cypriniformes; Cyprinidae.